GACGAACGCUGGCGGCGUGCCUAAUACAUGCCAGUAGAACGCACAGUUUAUACCGUAGCUUGCUACACCAUAGACUGUGAGUUGCGAACGGGUGAGUAACGCGUAGGUAACCUGCCUGGUAGCGGGGGAUAACUAUUGGAAACGAUAGCUAAUACCGCAUAAUAUUGAUUAUUGCAUGAUAAUUGAUUGAAAGAUGCUAUUGCAUCACUACCAGAUGGACCUGCGUUGUAUUAGCUAGUAGGUGAGGUAACGGCUCACCUAGGCGACGAUACAUAGCCGACCUGAGAGGGUGAUCGGCCACACUUGGACUGAGACACGGCCCAGACUCCUACGGGAGGCAGCAGUAGGGAAUCUUCGGCAAUGGACGAAAGUCUUACCGGGCAACGCCGCGUGAGUGAAGGAGGUUUUCGGAUCGUAAAGCUCUGUUUUAAGAGAAGAACGGGUGUGAGAGUGAAAAGUUCACACUGUGACGGUAUCUUACCAGAAAGGGACGGCUAACUACGUG
RNAcentral lists this ribosomal RNA (505 nucleotides) under uncultured bacterium. Its description in RNAcentral is "partial 16S ribosomal RNA". It matches the Rfam family "Bacterial small subunit ribosomal RNA", at positions 28 to 507 of the family's 1533-position model. The record is from RNAcentral.